AGCCGCAGUCACGACUUAAGCUGCAGCCGUAGCAACGCUGGGUCCUUAACCCACUGUGCAGGGCCGGACAUCGAACCAGCAUCCCAGUGCUCCCGAUGUGCUGCUGAUGCUGUUGCACUGUGGUAGACACACCUUCUCUCUCUCUCUCUCUCUCUUUUUUUUUUUUUUGCUUUUUAUGGCCGCAUCUGUGGCACAUGGAUGUUCCCAGGCUAGGGGAGCGGCCCCAGAAAAGGCAAAAAACAAAACAAACAAACAAACAAAAGAAUGAUUCUCCAGUCAAACUUUUCCACCUCGGCAAAGUAUAGAAGCAUCUCUCCGGUUGUACAACAAAAUCUUAGGACUUAUUCUUGUUUACUUCAUUUUACUCCCAUCCUCACCAAAUAAUCCAUCAGCAGAUCCUUCUAAUUCCACCCCCUACACACGUAUCACAUUCAAACCCCGCUGUCCACACUUCCUAAGUCACCUGCAGCAGCAGCCUCUCAGCGUUUCUCUGCCUCCAUCCCAGACAGCGGAGAGGCGGCCACGGGAGACGGGAGGGGGUCUUGUCACAACCAGCACCUGCCCAUGCACCGCAAGCAGAACUCAAACUCCCCUGGGACCCUGAAAGUCCCGAGAGUCCUGACGGGCUGCUCUCCUGGCCCAGACCCUGAGGCCUGGCCAGUCUGUGGGCCUCUGUGCAUCCUGCUUCCUCAGCUGGAAACCUCUCCCGCAGUUCUCUGCACAGGUGGCACCUUUCAACCUUCUGGCCCCAGGUCAGAUGUGACCACCUCAGAAAGGACACCCCACUUACUAGGGACAGACUCACCCUCUUUAUUUCUUUGUGGUAUUUGCUACAAUAUGCGAUGCUCUUGGUUUUUGUGGGUUUCUUUGGGGGGGGGCUGUGACUAUAGCAUGUGGAAGCCCCAGGGUCAGGGAUCGAACCCAAGCCACAGCCGUGACAAUGCUGGAUGCCUAACCUGCUGAGCCCCCAGGGAAGUCCACCUCUCAUUUUCACCUGUUUGUUUACUUCUUAAUUUUCUGCAUUCUCAUCAGAACCUGAGCUUCACGAGGGCACCGGCUGUCCCUACCUUGUUUACUGCUGUAGCCCCAGGAGCUUGUGGAGGACACUUAGGCUCAGAGCGGUUAAACAACCGGCUCAGAGCCCCAUAGCUGGAAGAAGUGGAGUUAGGAUCUGAACUUGGAUUUUUCUAACUACAAAGCCCAGAGUCUUCCCAAGAAGCUCCUCCUGCUUUGUGUCUAGAGUCGCAAUUAGGCAGUUCGGCUACGUGUACUUCCUGUGCUUCUGGGGAAAGAAGCCACGUGUUUCCCUCAUUCAUUCCUUUCUAAUCAGCCACAGCCAGAAAUUAUUACGCGUUCCCUGCUGUGUGGCCAUUGGGCAUUGACCCCUGCAGCUCCACUUCCUCAUCCGCAUAAGGGGAUUAAUACUGGAACAUACUGGGUCGCAUACAUGACAAUUACAUGAUUAAUGUUUUUAAGUGCCUUCAAACACAGGAAGGCUUACACAAUAUCUGCUAAGGAAAUACAAGACAUGUGCUGGGUGCCUCCUGUCUACCAGCACUGUGAUGAGGGGGGUGCAAGAAGACAGGACGCGGCUUCCAGGCGCCUCCAUCCAACACAUGCACAACGAGGGUGUUAAAGGCUGAGAAUGCCUGUCGGGGGGAGGAGCCUCAAUGUCCAUCGACAGAUGGCUGGAUCAAGCAGAUGUGGUACAUAUACACAGUGGAAUACUACUCAGCCAUAAAAAAGAAAGAAAUCAUGCCAUUUGCAGCCACACAGAUGGACCUAGAGAUGAUGGUACUAAGUGAAGUACUCAAAGACAAAGACAAGUACCGUGUGACAUCACGUACAGGUGGCCUCUAAAAUACGGCACGACUGAGCCUUUCUACAAAGCAAACACAGACUCACAGACACAGACAACAGACUUGCGGUUGCCAAGAGGGGAGGAGGGCUGAGAGUGGGAAGGACUGGAAGCUUGGGGCUGGCAGGUGCAAACUAUUAAUAUACAGGAUGGAUAAACAAUAGGUCCACCUGUACCGCACAGGGAACUGACUCCAUACUCUGUACUAGCCUAUAAUGCAAAAGCAUAGAAAAAGAAUGUGUGUGUGUAACCGCUCACUUUGCUGUACAGCAGAAACUAAUACAACAUCGUACCUCAACUAUAUGUCAAUACGAUGAAUGAAAAAAAAAUUUUUUAAAUGCCUGUAGAGCAGUAAGAGUAAAAACAGGCGUUAGUGACUGUGGACCACAUGCCAGGCUCUGUCCUAAACCCUUUCGCGAACUCAUUAAUCCAUCCUUGUCUCCUCCUAGGGGGUGGAGGCAUUAUAAGCCCCCUUUUAGUGAUGAGGAAGCCGAGCUUACAGACUGCCCCGAGUUAGGAGGUCAAAAGCGGGCCGGGAACCGCGGCCCUCGCUUCGGAGUUUAUGCUGUCAACCCCUGUGCCUUACAGCGUGGUUGUGACAAUAACACCUGUGCUGUCGCAUACCACGUAAGCCCUUGCUUAACCGCAAGUAAGAGAAGCAGAACGCAAGCCUGCGGGUAUACGAAACAUGUACAUUAUGUUGUUUAAACAAAAAGAAGCAGUUAAUGCAACGGUUCUCAUCAAGGUUUCGACUGAAGCAAGAAUGAACCAUUAGCAAAACCUUCCGAACGUCAUUUCUGGAGUUCCCGCAAUGGCACCGUGGUUAAGAAUCCCACUGCAGAGGCUCAGGUCACUGUGGACGUGCAGGCUUGAUCCCCAGCCCCGCACAGCAGGUGAAAGGACCUGGCGUCGCCGUGGCUGAGGCGUAAGUUGCAUCUGUGACUCGGAACGGAUCCCGGGCCCGGGAAUGUCCAGAUGCUGUGGGUGUGGCCAUUAAAAAAAAAAAGUUACCGCCACCGAGAAAAUCUAACGAAUGAGUUCUCUCUCUAACCACUACACUUAUAGAAAAAGCCUACCUUUAAAAUGUAUACAUACUGCGGAUGGUAAAUCAAAUUUAUAUUAUAAAAUGCCAUGGAAAUGAGAUUCGAUCUGCACAUUGCAAAUAAGUCUAUUACAGUGUGUAGGGAAGAAGAAAACAUUCUAUCAUACAAAUAUAAGGGGGA
This 3081-nucleotide long non-coding RNA is filed under the name Sus scrofa (pig). RNAcentral's name for it is "lncRNA (ENSSSCG00030071408.1)". The record is from RNAcentral. Lineage: Eukaryota; Metazoa; Chordata; Mammalia; Artiodactyla; Suidae.